AGGCAACCUCUUGAUUCGUAUUCAUUGAUCAUUGUGGUGUUUAUUUGCUCGUAAAUCGAUGUAAAAUGUUUUUGCUCUUCAGAUUUGCCGAGAUUGGAAUACUUAGGUUUUCCAUUUCAUGAAGUUAGUCUAGUAAAUCGAAAGCACAUU
This 150-nucleotide small nucleolar RNA is filed under the name Zostera marina. RNAcentral describes it as "Small nucleolar RNA snoR77". It matches the Rfam family "Small nucleolar RNA snoR77". Lineage: Eukaryota; Viridiplantae; Streptophyta; Magnoliopsida; Alismatales; Zosteraceae. The record is from Rfam by way of RNAcentral.